This 94-nucleotide small nuclear RNA is filed under the name Erinaceus europaeus (western European hedgehog). The record is from RNAcentral. Lineage: Eukaryota; Metazoa; Chordata; Mammalia; Eulipotyphla; Erinaceidae.
GUGCUCACUUUGGCAGCACAUAUACUCUAAUUGAAAUGGUACAUGGCCCCUGUGCAAGGAUGACAUGCAAAUACAUGAAGUGUUCCAUAUUUUU